RNAcentral lists this ribosomal RNA (250 nucleotides) under uncultured bacterium. Its description in RNAcentral is "partial 16S ribosomal RNA". It matches the Rfam family "Bacterial small subunit ribosomal RNA", at positions 524 to 774 of the family's 1533-position model. The record is from RNAcentral.
UACAUAGGGGGCAAGCGUUAUCCGGAAUUAUUGGGCGUAAAGGGUGCGUAGACGGUUAUGUAAGUCUUUGGUUAAAGUUCUAGGCUUAACCUAGUGAAGCCAAGGAAACUGCAUGACUUGAGUUUGGUAGAGGCAAGUGGAAUUCCAUGUGUAGAGGUAAAAUUCGUAAAUAUAUGGAGGAACACCAGUGGCGAAGGCGGCUUGCUGGGCCAAAACUGACGUUGAGGCACGAAAGCGUGGGGAGCAAACA